UCACCUUACUUGUGAAGAUGCAAUGAGUUAACACACACACAAUGCCUGGCACAUCAUCUAACACAUCACCUAGCACACAAGACAUGCUGAACCAAGGUUUGCCAUCAUUCUUCUCAAAGCCCACACACAGCUAGAGGGUUGAGAGCAAGGCUGCCAACCCUGGUUGUUUAAUUCUGCUCAUAAAGCUUCUGUAUGUUCCAUCUGCAAAAACUAAAUUCAGAGAAAAAUAACUGGAAAUAGAAAAGGGUGGUCAAGGAGAACACCAGAGCCAGAAGGAGGCGAAGACCAGUUCCUUGUGUAUCUGGAACUUGCCCUAUAGGGGUUCUUUGCCUCCUAUACCAGGCCCUGGAGGAAAAUCUGUUUGGUGGAGUCGCUGGAGCUUAAAGAAGGGGAAGUAAACUCAAGCGCACAUCCUGGUAACCUCUAGCCACGGGUCAAAUUUCACUGACGUCACUUAAAAAUGACCAAAGACCCGCCCCUGUGAAAACCCCGUGGGCAGCCAUUUUGUCUCAAGGAAACUGCCCAGAUCUGAGGUAAAGUAGUUCCGGACGUCUCUUGGUUGUAUAUGGCAUUUCUCUGAAAUAAGCAACUCUUUGAAAAAUAUAAUAGCGCAGAACAAAGUGAAGUACUCCAUGGUGAAGUUGAAGUACACAGUCACCAAAGAAACUUGCCCUCAGGCUGCAAAGUAAAAGCUGGAAAUCCCAGAGCAGCAACUUGGAAAUCCCACCUGCUACAUAUUUGCCUGAGUACUUUAAGGUUCUAUGGAAAAUUGUCUCUCUGUGUAGAUUAACCUUAAACUUGUUCCAUUUUGA
Molecule: non-coding RNA, 812 nt
Organism: Macaca mulatta (Rhesus monkey)
Lineage: Eukaryota; Metazoa; Chordata; Mammalia; Primates; Cercopithecidae
Source: RefSeq, a predicted model, not a curated record